GACGAACGCUGGCGGCGUGCUUAACACAUGCAAGUCGAGCGGAAAGGCCACUUCGGUGGUCCUCGAGCGGCGCACGGGUGAGUAACACGUGAGUAAUCUGCCCCUCACUUUGGGAUAGCCACCGGAAACGGUGAUUAAUACCGGAUAUGACCAUAUGUCGCAUGGCGUGUGGUGGAAAGUUUUUCGGUGAGGGAUGUGCUCGCGGCCUAUCAGCUUGAUGGUGAGGUAAUGGCUCACCAUGGCUUCGACGGGUAGCCGGCCUGAGAGGGUGACCGGUCACACUGGGACUGAGACACGGCCCAGACUCCUACGGGAGGCAGCAGUGGGGAAUAUUGGACAAUGGGCGGAAGCCUGAUCCAGCAACGCCGCGUGAGGGAUGACGGCCUUCGGGUUGUAAACCUCUUUCAGUACCGACGAAGCGCAAGUGACGGUAGGUACAGAAGAAGCACCGGCCAACUACGUG
This 463-nucleotide ribosomal RNA is filed under the name uncultured bacterium. RNAcentral describes it as "partial 16S ribosomal RNA". It matches the Rfam family "Bacterial small subunit ribosomal RNA", at positions 28 to 507 of the family's 1533-position model. The record is from RNAcentral.